This 492-nucleotide ribosomal RNA is filed under the name uncultured bacterium. RNAcentral describes it as "partial 16S ribosomal RNA". It matches the Rfam family "Bacterial small subunit ribosomal RNA", at positions 29 to 507 of the family's 1533-position model. The record is from RNAcentral.
AGUGAACGCUGGCGGUAGGCCUAACACAUGCAAGUCGAACGGCAGCACAGUAAGAGCUUGCUCUUACGGGUGGCGAGUGGCGGACGGGUGAGGAAUACAUCGGAAUCUACUUUUUCGUGGGGGAUAACGUAGGGAAACUUACGCUAAUACCGCAUACGACCUACGGGUGAAAGCAGGGGAUCUUCGGACCUUGCGCGAUUGAAUGAGCCGAUGUCGGAUUAGCUAGUUGGCGGGGUAAAGGCCCACCAAGGCGACGAUCCGUAGCUGGUCUGAGAGGAUGAACAGCCCCACCUGAACCUAGGCACGGUCCCGACCCCUACGGGAGGCAAGAGUGGGGAAUUUUGGGACAUUGGCCCAAGCCUGAACCCGCCCUACCGCGUGGGUGAAGAAGGCCCUCCGGUUUGAAAACCCCUUUGUUUGGAAAGAAAAGCCGCAGGUUAAUACCCCGCUGUUCUGACGGUACCCAAAGAAUAAGCACCGGCUAACUUCGUG